This 21-nucleotide small nuclear RNA is filed under the name Arabidopsis thaliana (thale cress). Its description in RNAcentral is "snRNA_09123". The record is from RNAcentral. Lineage: Eukaryota; Viridiplantae; Streptophyta; Magnoliopsida; Brassicales; Brassicaceae.
UUUUGAUAACUUGAUAACUAU